GACGUAGGUGGCGAACGUUAUCCGGAAUCAUUGGGCGUAAAGGGUGCGUAGAUGGCAUGAUAAGUUAUUAGUGGGAAAUCGAGGCUCAACCUCGUGGAAGCUAGUAAUACUGUUUUGCUUGAGUACAGAAGAGGUUAACGGAACUCCAUGUGGAGCGGUAAAAUGCGUAGAUAUAUGGAAGAACACCAAUUGCGAAGGCAGCUAACUAAGCUUUAACUGACGCUGAGGCACGAAAGUGUGGGGAUCAAACAGG
RNAcentral lists this ribosomal RNA (253 nucleotides) under uncultured bacterium. RNAcentral's name for it is "partial 16S ribosomal RNA". It matches the Rfam family "Bacterial small subunit ribosomal RNA", at positions 524 to 776 of the family's 1533-position model. The record is from RNAcentral.